RNAcentral lists this ribosomal RNA (497 nucleotides) under uncultured bacterium. RNAcentral describes it as "partial 16S ribosomal RNA". It matches the Rfam family "Bacterial small subunit ribosomal RNA", at positions 28 to 507 of the family's 1533-position model. The record is from RNAcentral.
GACGAACGCUGGCGGCGUGCCUAAUACAUGCAAGUAGAACGCUGAAGAGAGGAGCUUGCUCUUCUUGGAUGAGUUGCGAACGGGUGAGUAACGCGUAGGUAACCUGCCUGGUAGCGGGGGAUAACUAUUGGAAACGAUAGCUAAUACCGCAUAAAAUGGAUUAUCGCAUGAUAAUCCAUUGAAAGGUGCAAAUGCAUCACUACCAGAUGGACCUGCGUUGUAUUAGCUAGUUGGUGGGGUAACGGCUCACCAAGGCGACGAUACAUAGCCGACCUGAGAGGGUGAUCGGCCACACUGGGACUGAGACACGGCCCAGACUCCUACGGGAGGCAGCAGUAGGGAAUCUUCGGCAAUGGACGGAAGUCUGACCGAGCAACACCGCGUGAGUGAAGAAGGUUUUCGGAUCGUAAAGCUCUGUUGUAAGAGAAGAACGAGUGUGAGAGUGGAAAGUUCACACUGUGACGGUAUCUUACCAGAAAGGGACGGCUAACUACGUG